Molecule: transfer RNA, 72 nt
Filed under: Gigantopelta aegis
Lineage: Eukaryota; Metazoa; Mollusca; Gastropoda; Neomphalida; Peltospiridae
Description: tRNA-Thr
Rfam family: tRNA
About the family: Transfer RNA (tRNA) molecules are approximately 80 nucleotides in length. Their secondary structure includes four short double-helical elements and three loops (D, anti-codon, and T loops). Further hydrogen bonds mediate the characteristic L-shaped molecular structure. tRNAs have two regions of fundamental functional importance: the anti-codon, which is responsible for specific mRNA codon recognition, and the 3' end, to which the tRNAs corresponding amino acid is attached (by aminoacyl-tRNA synthetases). tRNAs cope with the degeneracy of the genetic code in two manners: having more than one tRNA (with a specific anti-codon) for a particular amino acid; and 'wobble' base-pairing, i.e. permitting non-standard base-pairing at the 3rd anti-codon position.
Source: RNAcentral
GCCUCCAUAGCUCAGCGGUUAGAGCACGGUCUUGUAAACCAGGGGUCGAGAGUUCGAAUCUCUCUGGGGGCU